UACAGAGGGUGCGAGCGUUAAUCGGAAUUACUGGGCGUAAAGCGUGCGUAGACGGUUAUUUAAGUCGGGUGUGAAAGCCCCGGGCUCAACCUGGGAAUUGCAUUCGAGACUGAAUAGCUAGGGUGCGGAAGAGGGAAGCGGAAUUUCCGGUGUAGCGGUGAAAUGCGUAGAUAUCGUAAGGAAGACCAGUGGCGAAGGCGGGUCUCUGGACAGUUCCUGACGCUGAGGCACGAAGGUCAGGGGAGCAAACGGG
Molecule: ribosomal RNA, 253 nt
Filed under: uncultured bacterium
Lineage: Bacteria
Description: partial 16S ribosomal RNA
Rfam family: Bacterial small subunit ribosomal RNA
Source: RNAcentral